This is a long non-coding RNA of Callithrix jacchus (white-tufted-ear marmoset), 3207 nucleotides long. RefSeq lists it as uncharacterized. The record is from RefSeq and is a predicted model, not a curated record. Lineage: Eukaryota; Metazoa; Chordata; Mammalia; Primates; Cebidae.
CUACAGUUCUUGUACCCCCAUCUUGACAGAUCAGUUCGCACAAGAAUGCGACCCUUUCGCUGCUCUUUUUUAGGAAAUGGUUUUCAUGAGACCAGCUUUGCCAACGACAUGGGCGGGUACACCAGGCGCCCAUGCCAAAGGCUGCUGAAAACGCCCUUGGAACCAGCUCCUCUUUUAGAAGAAGGAAUUCUGGAAUGCGAUGUGGGCCCCCGAAAGGAAGGGACCUUACAUUGAUCUGGAUUCCCAGGGGCUGUUCGCCAGCGGCUCCCCUGCGUCCUCGCCGGGUCCCCUGCCUGUGUCCCCGGGCCGCCCGGAUUCACUGCUUCUUCGUUUCUGGCGGCUUUAAGGCUUCUUCGGGCUGAGAAAACCUCACUUUGGGAGGAGUGGUGGUGGGGAGGACUUUCCCAGCCUGCUUCUUUGAUCUGCAGCAGGAAAAGAGUAUAAAUUCCAGAGACUCCAAACCUUGAAUUCAACGAAAACCAACCCCCGAGUAAAGGAGAAGAUGAUCAAGAUGGCUGGAGUCUGAACCUAGUCAACUGCUAGGCGAGAAUUUGGAACUGAGGUCCUGAGGGUCCACCUGGCUUCCAUGUGCAACUGGGACAAAGAUGGAGUCUCGUUCUCUCACCCAGACUGGAGUGCAGUGGUACAAUCUCUCCUUACUGCAACCUCCACUUUCCAGGUUCAAGUGAUUCUUCAGCCUCAGCCUCAUAAGUAGCUGGGAUUCCAGGCUGGCCUUCUCCUCCUCUCCUGUCUCCACUGCAGGCAGGACCUGACCACCAACACCACUCCUGAGAUUCACCUACCACAGUUGUAGCCACAUGCAAACGAAGGGGCUGGAUCUGGGUGUCUCCUCCACUGCAUGUGGACUGUGCAGAGAGAAGGGGUCCCCUGGAAUGCGACACUUAGAGCAGAGGGCACCCAGAACCAGGAACCAUGAAAGAGGAGUCUCAAAAUAGGACACAAAAGGAGUGCUUCACCACGUCACUGUGCACAUUCCAGCUAAGCCUCCAGCUCUGCUGGGGUCAAGCCAACAUGGAAAGAACCCAGGAGACCCACUCUUCCUGGGCACAGCUGAGAUUAGGAGGCAAAGAAAGGCCUCCAGGAAACCCAGAAGCCCAGCCUGAACUGAGGCAGAAAAGGACUGAUGUGUCUAACACCUGGCCUUCACUACCUGGAAGAGAGACAGACCAAGAACAAAUGAACAAAGAAGGUGAAAUGGUUAAAUGUGGUGCCUAAGCCUUUCUUUUCCAGAAACCGACAUAACUUCUGUCUGUCUGCCUACAUGGAGUUGUGGUUAGGAACACAUUUCUGGGGGAUUGGUUUGGUUUCAAUGUUUUCCAGUGUCUGGUAAAAACAGAACUAUGAAAGUUAAGUAUUCAAAGGCUGUUGUUUGGGUUUUGAAACAGAAACAUUUUGAAAUACUGAUAUGUUUUGCUUUCAUGGUGUUAUUUUACUUAAAGAGAUACAGUUGAAGUAAAACCAAAUUCUCAGCUACUAACAUAAACACUUUAGUCUUUCUUGUUGCUCUAAAGCCAGUUCGAGAUAUGGCAAUUUUAGGAGAGAAGAAGGGAGAGAGAGAGGAAGGACACACCACAAAAAGGAAGUUUGCAACAGUUGUGCCUGUUUUUAUUGAAUGUUUGAGGUGAUUACUACAUACCUUUUCUUCCUUUGGCUGGGGAGAUCUUUCCAGAAAAUACAGCCCACCAGGAGAUGUUAGAAUUUAUCCAGAGCAGCUCUUUGCACUUGGCUUUUGAUGUCUUGAAGUAAUGUGUUCGUCAAGUGCUUUUCUUAUUUAUACACAAAAUAAUCAUACUCUCUGUGCUUUUUGCUUUCUUAUUAGCAUGCAGAUCUAAUGUAAUUCCAUUUACUGGAUUCUGAGAGAAAUACAGACAUUGAAAGGGGUACCCCAGACUUCUGCAUAACAGGGGCCAGAUUUGUGUGCUUGCCUAACAGUAACAACAACAAAAGAUGAGACAUUAAAAAAAAAAGUUUCAAAACAUGGAUUGAGGCAGCAAAAAACAGUCAGUGAUCCCUAAGAGACUGCCCCAUCUUGUGGCCUUGAGACAGUUUUCAGGCUGUGGCGCAGAGUGGAGAACACAGGCAAAGGCUGGUGGAUCCCUGAUUGGGGAGACAGAGGUGAGAGUCAGGGAGAUCAAAACAGCUAGAGUUCCUGGGAAUCAACACCAGAGAAGAGAGGACUCUGUAAAGAGAGAAUUUGGGAGACCUGCAAAGGAUCCUUGAAUAUUCAUUAGAGGACCUACUGAUCAGCACAUUUGUGUGCGGAAGUCAUCAGAAACCAGAGAGAGAACCACCUGAAAGGAUUAGAGGUUAACAGUGCUCACUCAGGGCAGGGAAGAGUGCUUAUUCCCACCAGCCAGACCAGAAAACCUCACAGUUCAUCUACAUUAGUAGUGUUAAACUAAGUUAAGCCUAAGGCUACCUCCUUACAUAUUUUAAAUUCAGGCUAAAAGUUUUUCCAUACACAGAGAACUGUAACCUAACUGGACAUCUAACCAGAUUGUAACCCACUCCUGUAACAAGUAGCCAAGCCUCAGCCAAUCAUAAGAGCCAAAUUUUGGCCAUGCAAAGGCAGCCAACUGUUAAAACCAUGUUUAAGUGCCAAGCUGUAGCCAGCCAGCUGUUUCUGUGCUUCACCUCCAUUUUCUGUAGGUCAUUGCCCUUUUUCUGUCCAUAAAUGCUAUCCAGCCACAUGGCAGCCCUGGAGUUGCACUGCUGGUUCUGAGGGCUGCCCAAUUCAUGAAUCAUUCUUUGCUCAAUUAAACUGUUCAAUUUAAUUUGCCUAAAGUUUUCCUUUUAAUGGGAUGGUACAUAGUAAAAGGGAAUAAUUAGACUAAAUACUAAUCAGUCCUGUCAAACUAAUUAGAAAAGAGAGACCAGAAAAGCUCAAAUUGUUUACAAGUAACAUAAUUGUGUUCUAGAACAAAUAUUUAUAUAAACAUAAAAAGGUCCAUCACCCAACCAGGUAAAAUUCAUAAAAUCUGGCAUCCAAUCAAAAAUGAAGCAAAGUUAAGCAAAGAUCCCUGAGUCUACAACGUAUGAUGAGAAAAAUAAAUUAAAUUUGAUCCAUCACUGACACAGAUGUUAGAAUUAGAAAACAAGGCACUAAACUGUAUUACAUAUUUUCGAAAGGUAAUUAGAGACAAGGAAAAUACGAAAAAUACUCAAAUCAAGCUUCUACAGAUGAAA